This 666-nucleotide ribosomal RNA is filed under the name uncultured archaeon. Its description in RNAcentral is "bacterial SSU rRNA". It matches the Rfam family "Archaeal small subunit ribosomal RNA", at positions 193 to 859 of the family's 1478-position model. The record is from RNAcentral.
GUUUUUUCGCCUAAGGAUAGGUCUGCGGCUGAUUAGGUCGUUGGUGGGGUAAUGGCCCACCAAGCCGAUGAUCGGUACGGGUUGUGAGAGCAAGGGCCCGGAGAUGGAACCUGAGACAAGGUUCCAGACCCUACGGGGUGCAGCAGGCGCGAAACCUCCGCAAUGUACGAAAGUGCGACGGGGGGAUCCCAAGUGUUAUGCUUUUUUGUAUGACUUUUCAUUAGUGUAAAAAGCUUUUAGAAUAAGAGCUGGGCAAGACCGGUGCCAGCCGCCGCGGUAACACCGGCAGCUCGAGUGGUAGCUGUUUUUAUUGGGCCUAAAGCGUUCGUAGCCGGUUUGAUAAGUCUUUGGUGAAAGCUUGUAGCUUAACUAUAAGAAUUGCUGGAGAUACUAUUAGACUUGAAGUCGGGAGAGGUUAGAGGUACUACCGGGGUAGGGGUGAAAUCCUAUAAUCCUGGGAGGACCACCUGUGGCGAAGGCGUCUAACUGGAACGAUCUUGACGGUGAGUAACGAAAGCCAGGGGCGCGAACCGGAUUAGAUACCCGGGUAGUCCUGGCCGUAAACGAUGUGGACUUGGUGUUGGAAUGGCUUUGAGUUGUUCCGGUGCCGAAGGGAAGCUGUUAAGUCCACCGCCUGGGAAGUACGGUCGCAAGACUGAAACUUAA